RNAcentral lists this long non-coding RNA (1032 nucleotides) under Mytilus galloprovincialis (Mediterranean mussel). Lineage: Eukaryota; Metazoa; Mollusca; Bivalvia; Mytilida; Mytilidae. The record is from RNAcentral.
UUGUCUCAUUAGCAAUCACGUGACAUCUUCGUUUAUCUUCGCUUAUCUUUUUUGAUACCUUUUUAAUCAUUUUCUAUUCAUUAUUAGACAAGCUUCAAUGAUGAGUCUUCUGUAGAUGAACAUGAUGAGUCUUCUGUAGAUGAAACACGUGUCAGGUGUACACAAUUUCAAUUCCUGGUGUAUAUGAUGAGUUUAUGCACAAAUGUCAACAUUACAAAAAUGUGUGAAACUAUGAUAAACAUGGUCACCCAAUAAGAUGUCAAUUAAGGAUUAUGUACCCUUGUGUUGAUUCAAUGCUAAACAUAUGGAAAUUUUAUAGAAAAUCAACAGCCUUUAUCCUUGUACUCUCAUAUUUGGCAAUUUGAUGACUGAUAGCUAUAGGAUUAUUGCAUGCAGCUCUAGCAUUGAUUUCCUUAAAACAAGUUUAUUAAUGUACUUUUUAGCUGAAAAAAAUAAAAAUAUGGACCAAAUCAAGUACACUUUUUAGUGUGCGCUCGACUUUUGUGACUCAGGUCGAGGUAUUUUAGAAUUUACAGGUUGGUAAGAACUUUUUGUAAAAAAUAAACACUGGCACAUCUUAGAAAAGCAGGUGAGUAAUCUAUGUUUGAAAUUUUAUAACAAAAAUCUCUGUAUUAAAGGCUGUGGAUUUUCUAUAAAGUACACUUUGCCACAAAGUACUCUUUUUCUAUUAAAUGCAAUGAAACAAUAAAUAAUAAUGCUUUGCGUCAAGUUUCCCCUUCAGGCUUGGUAUACGUACAAAAUGGCAUAUCUCUAUUAUUCAUUAUAUCUGUAGUUUUGAUACAGUUGAAGUUUGAAAAGUUCGUACAAAAAUGGCCACAGAAGGGGUCAUAAACCUUAACUGUUUAUUUUAAACUACUCAUAAAUUGCAAUAAAUGUCGAUAUUACAAAUGUUUAUAUUCGAGAUGGUAUGUUAUAAAAUACUUCACUAUAACUAAUGUGCAGUAUUUUUGUUUUUAAAUAUACUAGGAAGUCUUCCUUGUACACUUAACCAACGUAUCACUUGAAAAAUUG